UAAUGAAAUUACUUAUUUAUCUAUUUAAUAGGUGAAAGAUAAGCUUGUAUUUAAAACAACUUAUGAUGAACAGAAACUAACUCAACCAUUAGAGCUGCAAAAUGCCAUUGACCAACUUUGUGCUGCUGUAUCUGGUGGUCGUGCCUUUGUGCGUCCUUCUGGAACAGAAGAUGUUGUUAGAGUAUUUUCAGAAGCAGACACUAUUGAAGAUGCAAAGAAGCUUAGUUUUAACAUUUCUGAGAAAGUAUAUGACCUUUGUAAUGGUGUUGGAGAUCGUCCUGUGCUGUAAAGCUAAAAUGAUCAAUUGAAAAUAUUAUCUAAGAAUAUUAUUUAACAUUUUUUAUACAAAUUUAUUAAAAUAUAUAUACUUAUAACUUUACAAUUUGGAAUUUAAAAAGAAAUUCAUAUUUGAAAAUCAUUAGAGGGAAAACUUUUGGUUUGUAAUUUCUGAAUUUACGAGAUCUUUUUCUGUCUUUAUGUUUGAUUUGUGAGCAAUAAUGCAAUAGAUUUUUAUUUUUACAGUUUAUUAUAUUUUAACAUUUGCCUUUCAUCAGCUCCAGGGUUGAGAAAAUACAGUACUGGGUUAAUGAUAUUGACUAAUUUCUUCACCUUAAAAUUAUUAUUAUGGCAAUGAGCCAACAAAAUCAAGUGUUGCAAGAAAUGCUUUGUGAUAUUUCUUCUAGUUCUUUACUUAUUGAGUUGAAAGCCCACUGAGUGGGUUUCAUCUCUCUGGGACCAAUAAAAUAAAGUAUCUAAUAAGUACUGGCAUCAAUGGUAUUGACUAAAUACCCUCCCUCAAAAUUGCUGUAUUUGUAUCUAAAUUAGAAACUAAUAUAUUGUGAAAUAUAGUUUGCCAUUCAUUGAGGAGGGAGGUAAUCAUGAGAAACAAUUUUCAAAUAUUUUUAUAGCUACCAUAUUAUUCUAAUAAAUAUAAUUUUGAAAACA
This is a long non-coding RNA of Octopus sinensis (East Asian common octopus), 945 nucleotides long. RefSeq lists it as uncharacterized. Lineage: Eukaryota; Metazoa; Mollusca; Cephalopoda; Octopoda; Octopodidae. The transcript is spliced from 3 exons. The record is from RefSeq and is a predicted model, not a curated record.